RNAcentral lists this ribosomal RNA (496 nucleotides) under uncultured bacterium. RNAcentral's name for it is "partial 16S ribosomal RNA". It matches the Rfam family "Bacterial small subunit ribosomal RNA", at positions 28 to 523 of the family's 1533-position model. The record is from RNAcentral.
GAUGAACGCUAGCGGCAGGCCUAAUACAUGCAAGUCGAGGGGUAUCCCGCUUUCGGGCGGGAGAGACCGACGCACGGGUGCGUAACGCGUAUGCAACCUACCCAUAUCUGGGGGAUGGCCCGGGGAAAUCCGGAUUAACACCGCAUAAAAUCACAGUACGGCAUCGUACAAUGAUCAAAUAUUGAUAGGAUAUGGAUGGGCAUGCGUGUCAUUAGCUGGUUGGCGGGGUAACGGCCAACCAAGGCGACGAUGACUAGGGGAUCUGAAGGGAUGGCCCCCCACACUGGUACUGAGACACGGACCAGACUCCUACUGGAGGCAGCAGUAAGGAAUAUUGGUCCAUGGGCGGAAGCCUGAACCAGCCAUGCCGCGUGCAGGAAGACGUCCCUCUGGGUUGUAAACUGCUUUUAUUCGGGAAUAAACCUGCAUACGUGUAUGCAGCUGAACGUACCGUAAGAAUAAGCACCGGCUAACUACGUGCCAGCCGCCGCGGUAA